Molecule: long non-coding RNA, 942 nt
Filed under: Vitis vinifera (wine grape)
Lineage: Eukaryota; Viridiplantae; Streptophyta; Magnoliopsida; Vitales; Vitaceae
Description: long non-coding RNA (VVIN_LNC008135)
Source: RNAcentral
CCAAUAUUUACCAGGAAGUUUGUGUUUUCCCCAAAUAUGCAUAUAUUUCAGCAAAAGAGUAUAAUACAAAAAAGGAAAAAACUCUUCACAUGUUUGAAUUUGGUUUAACAAGCAAGUACCACUCCUAUGAAAGGAUGUGAAAAAAAGUAGAGAAAUUCUCAAUGAUGUCAUGCUAAAAGGCAAAUGCCCAACUGUAGCACAGCACAGUUUAAAUGGACCAGUACUGUCAAAGGAUCAAACAAGGUGAGGCUUUAAUUAGACAUAUAUGCAUUGAGGCUUCUCUCAGCAUCUACCUCUUAGAUGAAUCAGAUGUAGAUACCUUCCUUCCAAAAUUGGGGCAAUUCUGUAUAAAUUACAUACUUCUGUAACUGUUGCCUGUUUGCUCAAACAUUACAAAUACAACUGCAGUUUUUAAAAUUCAUUUAGCUCCUAUUUAAUAUUAAAGUAAGUCAAUGUCACUAAAUUACAUUAAAGGUACUUUUGACUGCUUUCCAACAAUCCAAAAUCCACAUUGAGUUUUGGACUGAAAGGUUUGCUUUAUAGCUUUUUAGCCCUACAAUUUCUUAGAAUUUCACAUUGAUAAAUUGUUUAUCAGCUUUAAAUUGAUCACAAGGUAAAUUUGUUUCUUCAACUUUGGUUUUAGACCAGGUGGCAUCUAACACAAUUAAUUAUUAGAAAAAGUAUAGAUACUCUCUUUCUAUUGAUUGCAAAUUCUUGCCUUGAAUAAAUUCAUCUAUCAUGAUACUUAUGCCAAUGAAUUCAUGCAUACACCUUGAGACGCAGGUGGACAAAAAGCCUCACCUUCAUCCUAGCUUCUUGCAUUCUAAAACCACAUUUAAAGGAGAAGAAGUCCAUUGAGGGGAUUUGGAAUCUAUAUAGUGCAAUUUCCUAAAGAAAAUACCUUUAGAAACACGGCUACUUUCACUGCACCUAAAAUUGAAA